AUACGGAAGGUCCGGGCGUUAUCCGGAUUUAUUGGGUUUAAAGGGAGCGCAGGCGGAGAUGCAAGCGUGACGUCAAAUUUCGGGGCUCAACCCCGUCUCGCGUCGCGAACUGCGUCCCUUGGUUGCGGGAAGGGGAGGCGGAACUCGUGGUGUAGCGGGGAAAUGCAUAGAUAUCACGAAGAACUCCGAUCGCGAAGGCAGCCUUCCGGCCCGUCAACGACGCUCAUGCUCGAAGGUGCGGGUAUCAAACAGGAUUAGAUACCCUGGUAGUCCGCACAGUAAACGAUGGACACCCGCGGUUUGGCCUAUAUGGCUGAGCCGCCAAGCGAAAGCGUUAAGUGUCCCACCUGGGGAGUACGCCGGCAACGGUGAAACUCAAAUGAAUUGACGGGG
RNAcentral lists this ribosomal RNA (393 nucleotides) under uncultured bacterium. RNAcentral's name for it is "partial 16S ribosomal RNA". It matches the Rfam family "Bacterial small subunit ribosomal RNA", at positions 523 to 918 of the family's 1533-position model. The record is from RNAcentral.